GUGCAGAUGAUGUGAACAAUUUUUACCACUGAGUAAACUGAUGUUCCCAAAGGAACCACUGAUGCAC
Molecule: small nucleolar RNA, 67 nt
Organism: Gallus gallus (chicken)
Lineage: Eukaryota; Metazoa; Chordata; Aves; Galliformes; Phasianidae
Gene: SNORD42
Rfam family: Small nucleolar RNA SNORD42
About the family: snoRNA U42 is found in intron 3 of the ribosomal protein L23a (RPL23a) gene in humans and is also present in mice. U42 is a member of the C/D class of snoRNA which contain C (UGAUGA) and D (CUGA) box motifs.
Source: Ensembl